UGCAGCACAUGGAGGUUCCCAGGCUAGGGGUCUGAUCGGAACUACAGCUAUACCACAGUCACAGCCAUGCCAGAUGCAAGCCUCAUCUGCAACCUACGCCACAGCUCACAGCAAUGCCAGAUCCUUAACCCACUGAGCAAGGCCAGGGAUCAAACCUGAAACCUCAUGGUUCCUAGUCAGAUUCAUUUCCACUGCACUACAAUGGGAACUCCUCCCCUAAAGAUUUUUUUGGCAAAGACUGUGGCAUGUGGAAGUUCCCAGGCCAUGGAUUAAACCCAUGCCACAGCAGCUACCUGAGCUGCUGCAGUGACAACACCAGGACUUUAACCAGCUGUGCCACAAGGGAACUCCAUAAUUUUUUUUUUUUUUGUCUUUUUCUAGGGCCACUCCUGUGGCAUAUGGAGGUUCCCAGGCCACAGUGCGGCCCUAAAAAGAAAAAAAACACUGCAGGGAAAGAUGCAUUGCCAUCAAAGUGAGACUUGUUCCUCACCAUGAUCAGAAAUAUUAAAAAUGGAUUGCAGGAGUUCUGCUGUGGUGCAAAGGCAUUUGCGGCAACUUGGGAAGUAGGCACAGUGGGUUAAGAGUCUGGCAUUGCAGCUGUGCCUUCGGUUACAAACGCAGCUCAGAUCUGAUCCCUGGUGCAAGAGGUCCACAUGCCAAGGGGCAACCAAAUAAAUAAAAAUUUUAGAAAUUAAAAAGGAUUGCAUGUUGUCAUUGAGUCAGUUAUUAAAUGCCAUUCUGACUUCUAGCCAGGGUGUGUUCCAUGCAGACCUCCCAGAGUUGUGAAGCUCAGAGUAGUGGUUGGCAACAAACUAAAUUUUCAGUGGUUCACAGGGAUUGUGGGGCUUGGUCUAUGGUCGGAGGGUCAGCCUUUCCAGAGGAGUUCUACCAUGUUUUUGCUCCCUGCUCUGGUUUCCUUCAUUUGGUGUGAGGCAUGGGGACUAGAGCUGUUAGAAUGGACAGGGGAUUAAGUGUUCUUCAUGCUUUACAUCUUGGGGCUUAUACAGGCCCCCCCCCAGAGAAUG
Molecule: long non-coding RNA, 1025 nt
Filed under: Sus scrofa (pig)
Lineage: Eukaryota; Metazoa; Chordata; Mammalia; Artiodactyla; Suidae
Description: lncRNA (ENSSSCG00000055823.1, ENSSSCG00035080102.1, ENSSSCG00175045448.1)
Source: RNAcentral